AUGGAAAAUUGCAUUUUUGGAAUUUGCAAUAAUGUGAUGGGCGAACGACGGGAAUUGAACCCACGCAUGAUGGAUUCAUAAUCCACUGCCUUGAUCCACUUGGCUACAUCCGCCCCUUAUCCAGCUAAAGGAUUUUUUUUUCUUUUUUCCAUUGAUCAUUAUUCUAUUUAUUCUGACCUCCGUACUUCGAUCGAGAUAUUGGACAUAGAAUGCCACUCUUUAAAAAGGAAAAAAAAAGAAAUAUAG
Molecule: transfer RNA, 246 nt
Filed under: Triticum aestivum (bread wheat)
Lineage: Eukaryota; Viridiplantae; Streptophyta; Magnoliopsida; Poales; Poaceae
Description: partial small subunit ribosomal RNA
Source: RNAcentral